AUACGGAGGGUGCGGGCGUUAAUCGGAAUUACUGGGCGUAAAGCGUACGUAGGCGGUUUGCUAAGUCAGAUGUGAAAGCCCCGGGCUUAACCUGGGAACUGCGUUUCGAACUGGCAAACUAGAGUUCUUGAGAGGGUGGUAGAAUUUCAGGUGUAGCGGUGAAAUGCGUAGAGAUCUGAAGGAAUACCAGUGGCGAAGGCGGCCACCUGGCAAGUAACUGACGCUCAGAUGCGAAAGCGUGGGUAGCAAACGGGAUUAGAAACCCUAGUAGUCC
This 274-nucleotide ribosomal RNA is filed under the name uncultured bacterium. RNAcentral describes it as "partial 16S ribosomal RNA". It matches the Rfam family "Bacterial small subunit ribosomal RNA", at positions 523 to 796 of the family's 1533-position model. The record is from RNAcentral.